AAAAAUUUAUCUAUAAAAUUAAAAUUAUUAUCUAAUUAAAGUAUUAAUUUAUUAGUUAUAAAUAAUGUCAAAAUAUAAUUAGCAUACUAUUUUUUAAAAUUAGUAUUAUUAUUUAAUUAGAAAAGGAAAUAUUUUAAUAAGAUAAUGAUAUGGAUGGGUACUCCUUCGUCUUAGUCUGACCGGUUGAUUGUCAGCUUUGAGAGGCCGAGGAGGAGAUGCAGUUUCUAGGGUCUGCAGAGUUUUGCCUUGUCAGACUUUGGUUCCAACAUAUUUUUCGUAAAUGAUUGUGCAUCUCUGUUUUAUUGAUUUAUGAUUUCCACUGAAGUUAGUUGCAAUAGUUUUGGCUCUGCGAGUCAUGGAAGAAACAGUAAUUGAGAUUUGAGAAAGAUGUGUUGUAAGGAUGAACGCCAAUCUCUCUAUUCAUGAUCAUAACAGGUAACAUAAACUCCAAAUGAAUUACCACUGAAGAUUUGUUCAGGUAUUAACUUCGGAUUUUGAAAAAGUGAUUUCCUCAACGGUUGCCCAGGCGGAGAAAUAGUCUGAGUUGUUCGGCCAUUCAUCUGGAAAGAUGUUAGCAAAAGGACCUUUAAGAGUAUAAGAGAGAAUUUAGUUAUGAAUGCAUUGUGUACUACAAUGAUCUUAGAACUAUGUCUUUGUAUCGGCUUUGAGAUCAUCCUUCUAAAAUUGGUUUUGUCUAAUAUUUUAUAUUAUUGGGAUACUCACAAAUCUUGAUAGGAAUUUUUCUAUUUUAGUUUUAGUAGGAUAUAAAUUUAAAAUACGAAUUUAGUUAAAUUCGGUUUACCCGUUUUAUGAUAUAUACG
This 821-nucleotide long non-coding RNA is filed under the name Ricinus communis (castor bean). RNAcentral's name for it is "long non-coding RNA (RCOM_LNC003220)". The record is from RNAcentral. Lineage: Eukaryota; Viridiplantae; Streptophyta; Magnoliopsida; Malpighiales; Euphorbiaceae.